Molecule: transfer RNA, 64 nt
Filed under: Scorpidium cossonii
Lineage: Eukaryota; Viridiplantae; Streptophyta; Bryopsida; Hypnales; Amblystegiaceae
Description: partial tRNA-Leu
Source: RNAcentral
CGCUACGGACUUGAAAAUCCGUUGGCUUUAUUGACCGUGAGGGUUCAAGUCCCUCUACCCCCAA